GGGUAACGGAUAAAGUUGGCACAGUACUUGGAAAGUACUCUAUAAAGACGGUGUACACACCUUUAUCCAAAGUAGCAGGGAGCCUAAGGUCACCGAAGGACGUUAUUCCUCUGCGGUGGCUGAGCAUUUGCUGGAGUCAGGACCAAACCACUGGAUUGAGCUGCAUAACCCUAAAAUCCUCUCCACGGAUCGCCAUUUCUACAGUAGAAAAGUGCGGGAAGCCAUUGAAAUCAAAAAACAUUGCAAUUUUAAUCGGGACGAGGGUUUUAAGAUCUCAUCCACAUGGAAUCCAGUCAUUAGUAAAUGUAAGCGGAAACGAAUAUCGACAGUCGAUAAAUCGAAUAUCGUUAGUGUUGUGUGUCGACAGAGUGACAUCCCUAGUGCGCAAAACGUUCAAACUGAUAAACAAGACCAA
Molecule: long non-coding RNA, 415 nt
Organism: Cydia fagiglandana
Lineage: Eukaryota; Metazoa; Arthropoda; Insecta; Lepidoptera; Tortricidae
Exons: 2
Source: RefSeq, a predicted model, not a curated record